Molecule: ribosomal RNA, 506 nt
Filed under: uncultured bacterium
Lineage: Bacteria
Description: partial 16S ribosomal RNA
Rfam family: Bacterial small subunit ribosomal RNA
Source: RNAcentral
GAUGAACGCUAGCUACAGGCUUAACACAUGCAAGUCGAGGGGUAACGAGAGGAAAGCUUGCUUUCCUUGUCGACGACCGGCGCACGGGUGAGUAACGCGUAUCCAACCUGCCCCCAACUAAGGAAUAACCUUGCGAAAGUAAGACUAAUACCUUAUAAUUUCCUCAGAUGUCAUCUGACGAGGAAUAAAGAUUUAUCGGUUGUGGAUGGGGAUGCGUCUGAUUAGCUUGUUGGCGGGGUAACGGCCAACCAAGGCAAAGAUCAGUAGGGGUUCUGAGAGGAAGGUCCCCCACAAUGGAACUGAGACACGGUCCAAACUCCUACGGGAGGCAGCAGUGAGGAAUAUUGGUCGAUGGGCGGAAGCCUGAACCAGCCAAGUAGCGUGCAGGAUGACGGCCCUAUGGGUUGUAAACUGCUUUUAUACAGGAAUAAAGUUAGCCACGUGUGGUUAUUUGUAGGUACUGUAUGAAUAAGGACCGGCUAAUUCCGUGCCAGCAGCCGCAGUAA